This 69-nucleotide transfer RNA is filed under the name Mus musculus (house mouse). RNAcentral describes it as "tRNA-Thr". The record is from RNAcentral. Lineage: Eukaryota; Metazoa; Chordata; Mammalia; Rodentia; Muridae.
GACAAAGCUCAGCAGUAAAGCACUUGCCCAGUAUGGCAGAGGCCCUGGGUUCGAUUCCCAGGGCUGCCA